RNAcentral lists this ribosomal RNA (484 nucleotides) under uncultured bacterium. RNAcentral describes it as "bacterial SSU rRNA". It matches the Rfam family "Bacterial small subunit ribosomal RNA", at positions 30 to 507 of the family's 1533-position model. The record is from RNAcentral.
UUGAACGCUGGCGGCAUGCCUUACACAUGCAAGUCGAACGGCAGCAUGGGUGCUUGCACCUGAUGGCGAGUGGCGAACGGGUGAGUAAUGCAUCGGAACGUGUCCAAUAAUGGGGGAUAACGAGUCGAAAGAUUCGCUAAUACCGCAUACGCCCUACGGGGGAAAGCAGGGGAUCGUAAGACCUUGCGUUAAUGGAGCGGCCGAUACCUGAUUAGCUAGUUGGUGAGGUAAAGGCUCACCAAGGCAACGAUCAGUAGCUGGUCUGAGAGGACGAUCAGCCACACUGGGACUGAGACACGGCCCAGACUCCUACGGGAGGCAGCAGUGGGGAAUUUUGGACAAUGGGGGCAACCCUGAUCCAGCAAUGCCGCGUGAGUGAAGAAGGCCUUCGGGUUGUAAAGCUCUUUUGUCAGGGAAGAAACAGCAGCUCUAACACAGUCUGCGAAUGACGGUACCUGAAGAAUAAGCACCGGCUAACUACGUG